Molecule: non-coding RNA, 788 nt
Organism: Vicugna pacos (alpaca)
Lineage: Eukaryota; Metazoa; Chordata; Mammalia; Artiodactyla; Camelidae
Source: RefSeq, a predicted model, not a curated record
AUUACCGCCCCCCACCCCCGCCACAUACACACACAAAAUCACAAAAAACAAAUAAAACUAAAACUUAAAAAAAUAAUGUGCCUAGAAGACAAUCAUCAGUGGGUGUAAAGUCAUUUGGUGAAAGGCUCAUGGAUCAGGCGUCAGACACCACUUAAGACACCUGGUCAAUCUGCCUCAGUAAAAACGGAACAGCCAAUCAUCGGUCAUGAUGGGAUGUCAUAACGGGCACACAGCACCGCCUAUGACAGCUGGGGGGCUGGAGGAGCGGGCACUGCUUUCUCCAAGGGAGGCUGAGCAGGAGGCGCCCAGGCGGAGUCGGCGUAUCAGGCACCGGUGAAUCGGGCCCAGAGAACGCCGGCUGGGGACCAGCUCUGGCCGCACGCCGGCAGCUGCGAGGAUGACCGAGGGCAGAGGGAGGAGGAAGGCCAAGCCGCGCGAGCUGUGAAGGGCCCAACGAGAAAAACUUCCACACGCAAUUUAAUAAGGUUUUGCUGAAUCCUUAAGUAAAGUUCAAGGCUGAGCAAACAGCCCAGCUAAAUUCAGCCCCUGACAGAGAAGAGCUUCUGGCAAAGCCAAGUGCCAUGCACAGCAACACCAAGGCAACAAAACCACCUGAUAAUCCCUCGAUUCCGGGUCCACACCUGGGAUACAGAUCCACCUGCAAGCAGGGUAGGAUUUAAAUGAACAAAACUCAGGACGGGCGCCCCAGGAUGUGCGGAGACGGGACAGGGCUGCAGGCAGCCUCGCUGUACUCAGGGGUGAGGUCUUCCAAGGAGAAAGGCGACAAG